UCUCCGUUGGUGAACCAGCGGAGGGAUCAUUACCGAGUUCCAGCAACUCCCAACCCUUGCGAACCGUACCCCAGUCUGUUCUCGUUGCUUCCGGCAGGCGGGGGGGGCCACCUGGCCCCUCCCCCUGCCGGGGGCGGCGGGCCCUACGAACCUUUAUAUCUCAACCACCAGAAACCGUCUGAGAAAACAAACAAAAAAAUCAAAACUUUCAACAACGGAUCUCUUGGCUCUG
RNAcentral lists this unclassified non-coding RNA (232 nucleotides) under plant metagenome. RNAcentral's name for it is "partial contains small subunit ribosomal RNA, internal transcribed spacer 1, and 5.8S ribosomal RNA". The record is from RNAcentral.